CACAGACAGGGUGCUAUUCUCAUGCUGAUGUUCAAGGUCAGAAUACACAGACAGGGUGCUAUUCUCAUGCUGAUGUUCAAGGUCAGAAUACACAGGCAGGGUGCUAUUCUCAUGCUGAUGUUCAAGGUCAGAAUACACAGACAGGGUGCUAUUCUCAUGCUGAUGUUCAAGGUCAGAAUACACAGACAGGGUGCUAUUCUCAUGCUGAUGUUCAAGGUCAGAAUACACAGACAGGGUGCUAUUCUCAUGCUGAUGUUCAAGGUCAGAAUACACAGACAGGGUGCUAUUCUCAUGCUGAUGUUCAAGGUCAGAAUACACAGACAGGGUGCUAUUCUC
Oncorhynchus tshawytscha (Chinook salmon) is the source of this 336-nucleotide long non-coding RNA. The record is from Ensembl. NCBI's taxonomy places the organism in Eukaryota, Metazoa, Chordata, Actinopteri, Salmoniformes, Salmonidae.